Molecule: ribosomal RNA, 613 nt
Filed under: Ramaria acris
Lineage: Eukaryota; Fungi; Basidiomycota; Agaricomycetes; Gomphales; Gomphaceae
Also listed under: 1 other name
Description: eukaryotic LSU rRNA
Rfam family: Eukaryotic large subunit ribosomal RNA
Source: RNAcentral
CUAACAAGGAUUCCCCUAGUAACGGCGAGUGAAGCGGGAAGAGCUCAAAUUUGAAAUCUGGCGGUCUUCGGCCGUCCGAGUUGUAGUUUCGAGAAGCGUUUUCCGCGUCGGACCGUGUACAAGUCCCUUGGAACAGGGCGUCGUAGAGGGUGAGAAUCCCGUCUUUGACACGGACUGCCGGUGCUCUGUGAUGCGCUCUCAAAGAGUCGAGUUGUUUGGGAAUGCAGCUCAAAAUGGGUGGUAAAUUCCAUCUAAAGCUAAAUAUUGGCGAAAGACCGAUAGCGAACAAGUACCGUGAGGGAAAGAUGAAAAGCACUUUGGAAAGAGAGUUAAACAGUACGUGAAAUUGUUGAAAGGGAAACGCUUGAAGUCAGUCGCGUCUCUCGGGACUCAGCCUUGCUCUUCUGCUUGGUGCACUUCCCGAGGCGACGGGCCAGCAUCGAUUUCGACCGUCGGAGAAAGGCUUUGGGAACGUGGCACCUCCGGGUGUGUUAUAGCCCAUGGUCGUAUGCGACGGCUGGGAUCGAGGUUCGCAGCACGCCUUCAUUGGCCGGGGUUCGCCCACGUAACGUGCUUAGGAUGCUGGCGUAAUGGCUUUAAACGACCCGUCUUG